UGCACACAUGAAGAGGAGGCAUCCCACCUCACUCCGAUUUCUUAAUUGGAUUUUCUAUUUAGGCAAGGAUGAGUUCUAAUUGGAUUAGACUCCUACUUCUUUGGGUUUUGAUUAGAUUGUGGCAUCACCUAUUUGAGGGGAGAAUCUAAUCCAUGAUGAGGAGGUCCUAUGUUUUGUGCAACAAAAUUAAAAAGAAAAUUAUCAUGAGGAAUAAA
Molecule: long non-coding RNA, 215 nt
Filed under: Elaeis guineensis (African oil palm)
Lineage: Eukaryota; Viridiplantae; Streptophyta; Magnoliopsida; Arecales; Arecaceae
Description: long non-coding RNA (EGUI_LNC048366)
Source: RNAcentral